CCCAGUGGGCGGGCGGCUGGCUGCCCCCCGGGUGCAGGGGGGCGCUGGGGGGCCGGCAGCAAGGUGUGCUCAGGGUGACUGUCUUCAAGGGGGAAUCCGAUGACUCCAUUCUCCGGCUGGCCAAGGCUGACUGCAUCGUCUCCAAGAACUUCUGAGGGCGAGGACCCUCAGGCCGGGCUGAGACUUGUCCUAAAUAAACAGUAAAAACUUC
Tupaia belangeri chinensis (Chinese tree shrew) is the source of this 211-nucleotide long non-coding RNA. RefSeq lists it as uncharacterized. The transcript is spliced from 2 exons. Lineage: Eukaryota; Metazoa; Chordata; Mammalia; Scandentia; Tupaiidae. The record is from RefSeq and is a predicted model, not a curated record.